AGUGCACACUCUUCUUUAUUAAACGUGGGUAACUAAAUACACACGAAUCAGAAUUCAUAAAAAUUACCAAAGUAUGGGUAUAAAUGGACCGCUACUAUCAAUAAUAAAACAUGGAUAUACAAUCAACUUUUAGACAUUACUGUCCUAUCCAAUUUGAAAACAUGGAUUAUCCGUUAUAAUAAAUAAAAAUAGAAAUGGUGCAUUAGUAACUUAUUUAAACAUCAUGUAUCAUUGAAUAAUA
This 241-nucleotide long non-coding RNA is filed under the name Elaeis guineensis (African oil palm). Its description in RNAcentral is "long non-coding RNA (EGUI_LNC074169)". The record is from RNAcentral. Lineage: Eukaryota; Viridiplantae; Streptophyta; Magnoliopsida; Arecales; Arecaceae.